RNAcentral lists this unclassified non-coding RNA (1795 nucleotides) under Hevea brasiliensis (rubber tree). The record is from RNAcentral. Lineage: Eukaryota; Viridiplantae; Streptophyta; Magnoliopsida; Malpighiales; Euphorbiaceae.
GAACACGUAUACAAGAAGGUUGACACUGCUCAGCCCUGCCAACAACCAAAAGAAGUAAUCCAGAUGCCCCUCGUUCAAGUUAUCGGGAAUCCAUCCAGGCUUCCCUCCGCGUGUCGUCAGAGAAGUCACGACAGUCAAAAUGAACGAACUCAGAUAAUUUCCAAGCGCUGUAGUCAGCAGGGAAAACGCACUGCACAGGCUCCUCAUCGCAUCGGGAGAUUGGUCAUAGAAAAACUCAAGCUGGCCGAUAAACGUGAACACCUCAGCCGCUCCGACCAAGAAGUACUGUGGUAUCUGCCAUAAAAUGGUCAUCGGGACAGCAACUUUGUCGUGGAUUAUACCAUCAGCUUCUGCGAUGUGUAGCCGCCUGAUUUCGACCAGCGCUGCUGCUGCCAUUGCUAGUAUCGAUAUGAAUAGCCCAAUUCCCAUUCUCUGAAGUUCGGAGAAGCCUCUUUCCUUGCCUGUGAUCCUCCUUACAAUCGGAACGAGAAUGCUGUCGUAGACGGGAACCCAUACGAUGACACUGAUGACGUCGAAGGUCGAGAGGGAUGCGGGUGGAAUGGUGAAGGAGCCUAUGGUUGUGUCGAGGACCAUCCCUUGUUCGACAAACAUGGUCGAUAUCUGAGCGUAUACGGCUGAGAAAACGAUGCCAGUAGCCCAUAUGGGGAACAUGCGUACCAAUAUCUUGAGCUCUUCCACCUGGGUGACCGUGCAGAGCUUCCAUGGAUUCGUGAAGCUCUCGGCCUUGACGUCAAGAUCUGAGACAGUCGCAGCCUUGUCGAGAAACUUGAGUUGAUCGCUAUGCUCCAACUUUCUACUCCCUUCAAUGGCCGACGUUUUGUCAGGAAGUUCGAAUAGGAGAGAACUGUCCUCGGGAACAUCUACAGUCCACUUGCGAACAGAGGCGACCACCACCUGGCACACCCUCGUAAUAGGGCUUCCUCCUGGUUUCUGAAACCGAUAAAGCACGGUGCCCGAGAAAAAACUUCCAAUAGCCAGACCCAUAAACAAAGUAGGAAUGCCAAACCCCAAGCCCCACCCAUAGUUGUCUUGGAUCCACACGAGCAAACUGCUCGAGAUGAGGGCACCAAUGUUGAUAGAGAAGUAAAACCAAUUAAAGAACGAUCCUUUCUUCACUCUCUCAACUGGAUCGGUGUCGUCAAACUGAUCAGCUCCGAAUGAUGAAACGCAGGGUUUGAUGCCCCCCGUUCCUAAUGCAAUCAGAUAAAGACCAAGAAAGAAUACACCGUACUGAGGAACGCUUGCUUCGGGACAAAAUUCUCCAACGCAUUCUGGAGGCUUUAAAGCAGAAACAGAUGCCGAGAGAGUCAAUGUACCCAUACCAAUAAAGUAAAUUGUCGAGAAAACAACGAUUGUCCAGUAUCGCCCCCAGAUGGCGUCGGCUAAAACAGCUCCAAUUAGAGGUGUAAUAUAGCAAGUUCCUUGCCAAGUUGUGACGUUUCUCGCUGCAGAGACAUUUCCUUCAUGGAGCUUUUUGGAGAGGUAUGUGACAAGGUUCGUUGAUAUUCCAUAGUAUGCCAACCGUUCGCAGCAUUCGGUCCCUAGAAUGAAUGGGCAUGCUCUCCAGCCACCGGUGUUCCGCUUCAAGAUAGGAUUACCAUGAAUAUCAACCGAUCCAUCACCUGUACAUGGUCCUAUGUGUCCAUUCUCAAGAAGUCGAUCCUCCAGCAUCAACCUUGCCUCCUCAUCCUCGCGAGAACCCAUUAAUCAAUCUCUCCCGAUCUUAGAUUCGGAUUGGGGUUUGAGGGAUUCUCUGCGAGGUAAGGGAGGGAUG